This 1464-nucleotide ribosomal RNA is filed under the name uncultured Klebsiella sp. RNAcentral describes it as "bacterial SSU rRNA". It matches the Rfam family "Bacterial small subunit ribosomal RNA". The record is from RNAcentral. Lineage: Bacteria; Pseudomonadati; Pseudomonadota; Gammaproteobacteria; Enterobacterales; Enterobacteriaceae.
AUUGAACGCUGGCGGCAGGCCUAACACAUGCAAGUCGAGCGGUAGCACAGAGAGCUUGCUCUCGGGUGACGAGCGGCGGACGGGUGAGUAAUGUCUGGGAAACUGCCUGAUGGAGGGGGAUAACUACUGGAAACGGUAGCUAAUACCGCAUAAUGUCGCAAGACCAAAGUGGGGGACCUUCGGGCCUCAUGCCAUCAGAUGUGCCCAGAUGGGAUUAGCUAGUAGGUGGGGUAACGGCUCACCUAGGCGACGAUCCCUAGCUGGUCUGAGAGGAUGACCAGCCACACUGGAACUGAGACACGGUCCAGACUCCUACGGGAGGCAGCAGUGGGGAAUAUUGCACAAUGGGCGCAAGCCUGAUGCAGCCAUGCCGCGUGUGUGAAGAAGGCCUUCGGGUUGUAAAGCACUUUCAGCGGGGAGGAAGGCGUUAAGGUUAAUAACCUUGGCGAUUGACGUUACCCGCAGAAGAAGCACCGGCUAACUCCGUGCCAGCAGCCGCGGUAAUACGGAGGGUGCAAGCGUUAAUCGGAAUUACUGGGCGUAAAGCGCACGCAGGCGGUCUGUCAAGUCGGAUGUGAAAUCCCCGGGCUCAACCUGGGAACUGCAUUCGAAACUGGCAGGCUAGAGUCUUGUAGAGGGGGGGUAGAAUUCCAGGUGUAGCGGUGAAAUGCGUAGAGAUCUGGAGGAAUACCGGUGGCGAAGGCGGCCCCCUGGACAAAGACUGACGCUCAGGUGCGAAAGCGUGGGGAGCAAACAGGAUUAGAUACCCUGGUAGUCCACGCCGUAAACGAUGUCGAUUUGGAGGUUGUGCCCUUGAGGCGUGGCUUCCGGAGCUAACGCGUUAAAUCGACCGCCUGGGGAGUACGGCCGCAAGGUUAAAACUCAAAUGAAUUGACGGGGGCCCGCACAAGCGGUGGAGCAUGUGGUUUAAUUCGAUGCAACGCGAAGAACCUUACCUGGUCUUGACAUCCACAGAACUUUCCAGAGAUGGAUUGGUGCCUUCGGGAACUGUGAGACAGGUGCUGCAUGGCUGUCGUCAGCUCGUGUUGUGAAAUGUUGGGUUAAGUCCCGCAACGAGCGCAACCCUUAUCCUUUGUUGCCAGCGGUUAGGCUGGGAACUCAAAGGAGACUGCCAGUGAUAAACUGGAGGAAGGUGGGGAUGACGUCAAGUCAUCAUGGCCCUUACGACCAGGGCUACACACGUGCUACAAUGGCAUAUACAAAGAGAAGCGACCUCGCGAGAGCAAGCGGACCUCAUAAAGUAUGUCGUAGUCCGGAUUGGAGUCUGCAACUCGACUCCAUGAAGUCGGAAUCGCUAGUAAUCGUAGAUCAGAAUGCUACGGUGAAUACGUUCCCGGGCCUUGUACACACCGCCCGUCACACCAUGGGAGUGGGUUGCAAAAGAGGUAGGUAGCUUAACCUUCGGGAGGGCGCUUACCACUUUGUGAUUCAUGACUGGGGUGA